AGGGGGUUUGAUCAUGGGCUCAGAACGAACGUUGGCGGCGUGGAUUAGGCAUGCAAGUCGUACGAGAAAAGUUUCUUCGGAGACUGAGUAAAGUGGCGAACGGGUGAGUAAUGCAUAGACAACUUGCCCUCGAGAUGGGAAUAACGUUUCGAAAGGGACGCUAAUGCCCAAUGUCGUCCGUGGCUUACGGGCUGUGGAUGAAAGGAAGCCUCUGAUUUAAGCUUCCGCUCGGGGAGAGGUUUAUGUCCUAUUAGCUUGUUGGUGAGGUAACGGCUCACCAAGGCUGCGAUGGGUAGCCGGCCUGAGAGGGUGACCGGCCACAUUGGGACUGAGACACUGCCCAAACUCCUACGGGAGGCUGCAGUCGAGAAUCUUCCGCAAUGCGCGCAAGCGUGACGGAGCGACGCCGCGUGGGUGAUGAAGGCCUUCGGGUUGUAAAGCCCUGUCAGUUGCUAGGAAUUGCAGGUGGUAAACAGCCAUCUGUUUGACCAUGCAUCAAAGGAAGCACCGGCUAAAUACGUGCCAGCAGCCGCGGUAAUACGUAUGGUGCAAACGUUGUUCGGAAUCACUGGGCCUAAAGAGCGCGUAGGCGGUUAGGUUAGUCAGACGUGAAAUCCCUCGGCUCAACCGAGGAACUGCGUCUGAUACUGCCUAACUAGAGUGCAGGAGGGGAAAGUGGAUUCCUGGGGGAGCGGUGAAUGCGUAAAUAUCAGGAGGAACGCGGGUGGGCAAAGCGACUCUCUGGUCUGCUACUGACGCUGAAGC
Molecule: ribosomal RNA, 765 nt
Filed under: uncultured Planctomycetota bacterium
Lineage: Bacteria; Pseudomonadati; Planctomycetota
Description: bacterial SSU rRNA
Rfam family: Bacterial small subunit ribosomal RNA
Source: RNAcentral